AGCCGAAACCGCAGCGCGCAGCCGCGCCUGCGGUCCCGCCGGGAUUAGCUCCGGCGGCUGAUGAGGCAGCUACCC
This 75-nucleotide non-coding RNA is filed under the name Gemmatimonadota bacterium. Lineage: Bacteria; Pseudomonadati; Gemmatimonadota. The record is from RNAcentral.